UCUCAAAGAAAAUCUUAACAUCUUCAACUCUUCAUCUGCAGCUCCGCCACCUGUGUUUUUGUUAGUGCUACCAUCUCCAAACCAUUAAUAGUAGGUCUCACCAACAUAUUGAAAGCUUCACUGUUACAUUCAACUCCCUGUCAUUCACAGACAUGUAUUCGGUCUUGGUUUUGCUGACUUCCAUUGCUCUACUCUCCAGAACAUACCUCCACCUGCUCCUCACUCUCACUACAGAUCAGUGUUGUCUAAGAACAUCAUAGUCCAUGGAAACUCAUCUGUCAAUCUGUCCAUCACAGCGCCAACGAGAAAAAAAUCAUGUAUUCCCUUCCCCACCUUGAACUGAUAUGUCACUCUUACCACACACCUCAUCGUUAUCUUGCUGACCUCAUACAUGUCCUCCACCACCCUCACCUUGUCUGCCACUCCUGACUACUUAAUCCAGUACCAUAUUUUCUCUCUUGGCACCCUUUCAUGUUUCCUCUAAAUUCACCAAGGCACAUAGAAGCUCCUUCUGACUUUUUCUAUACUUCUCCAUCAACACACUCAUAAGUCAUACUGCUGCUCGUCAGCUCCAUUUUCAGCUUAGCUUCAACAACUCUUUAAACAGCUAUAUAGCUAAUCACCUUUAUGCCUCCAGAAUUAUUAAGCUCUGUCUAUCACUAGUGAUCCCAGUAGUCCAGUUCCUUGGAACUGUUAGUUCAAUUCCUUCUCUUUUGAGUAGGAACUCCACUACACAUUGGCUGGAGUGCAGUGAGCAAACUGAUUGAGAACACCUGAGUCGGAGCUUCACCCCAACUAAGGUAUUUUGGGCCUGGGUGUUUUGCAGCAGGGAGAAAUGGUCUAUCUUGCCUUCAUCUUUGCUAUGCUUGUCCUUCAGGGGUCAGAUUUGUUUGCAUUUGGUAUGGUUUGCUUGCUCUUACAUCUGGUGAGUGUAAAAAGCCUAAUGAUGAUUUGUCUAUUCCUAAUGUCCCUUUGAGUAGGGAUGGUUUUGUUUCCUUGGUAGGAGGUGAGGAUAAAGUCCCAGUUAAAAUUCUGAGGGACACAGGAACCUAUGACUUCUAUGUAGUGAACUCUGUGCUGCCCUUCUCAAACGAGUCUGACACAGGUGACAAGAUCCUCAGUUAUGGGAUGGGUUUCACCACUCUUCCUGUUCCUUUGCACAAGCUCAUCUUGACUAGCGAGCUCCUCCAAGGUGACAUUUCCAUGGGAGUACGUCCAGCAUUGCCCGUUGAUGGUGUUCAUUUUAUUUUGGGCAAUGGUUUGGCUGGUAGCAUGGUUUGGGCAGAUGUUCCUCUUUCAACUAUUGUGGCAUCUGCUCCACUUAAAACUGUCUCUGAUGAAGGUGUCGGUGAGUUUCCAGGUUUUUCUGCUUAUGUGGUUAGACGUGCCAUGGCAAUGAUUGAUGGUGACAUACCCUCCAGAAGUGUGACUCUGAGAAGGUUCCGUCUUUAAAUGAGUUUCCUCUAAAAGUUUCACAGAUUGUGCUGUUGCAUGAGCAACAGAAUGAUCAGAGUCUGAAAGAUCUAUUCAACUGAGUGAGCCUGAAACUGAAAUAAACAGCCGAGCGUGUGGUUUAUGUAUUGCAUAAUGGUCAGUUGUUUGGAAAGUGAGUCACUCUGGCUGACGAUGUUGUUGGAGAUGCCUGGGGUCUGCCUGGGGUGAGGGGGGUAAGAAAAAGCUACCUGAAGCUUUUAAAAUAUUUCUUUUAGCCUCAUGUCAAAAUGGAUGAUGUGGCUUACAUUAGAAGUUGUCAUGUGUGCCAGUUGGCAGAAAAACCAAUUAGGCCGUUAGGCCAGUAAUUCCUGCAAUAACUGAACCUUUAGAACACCUUAUUCUAGACUGUUUCUAGACUUUAGAACACCUUAUUCUAGACUGUAAAAACUGGAGUGUCAAUAUUUCAGAGUAAACCUAUUUUAACCUAGAUAGAGUAUUUACAACUCUAUGAGGAGUAAAAACCAGCUCUAACAUCAGAGUUAAAAGUCAGUGUAAAGUUCUUCUGACAUGCAGUGAAGACUUAACUCCACACAGUGUUGAUUAUUGGCAGUCCGCAGGCGUGCGCAGUCUCAGAGUUCUGAUGAGCAUGGAAUUUUCUCCAGAGAGGUGCCACAGUCAGAAAUAAAGCGAAUUGCAGUAAGAGCAGACCAAUACUUGAAUAUGCUGCUGCGGGUUUUGUUUGGUAGGGAGCAUAAGUAUGUUAUGCUGUCUGACCUAACAUUUGAUGCUGUCAUGAAAGAAGGUUAGAAUAUCAGGAUAAAACAAUAUAUCAAUUUUUACUUGUUCAAUACACCAACUUCAUUAUAAAACCAUAUUCUUACUCAACUACCUAAGUUGACAAGACAACCUAAAAGGCCAUGCCAUAUAAACUAUGAGGCAAAAACUCUGGGUAGUGGAUACUGUUAAGUCUCAUCUGGAUGUUUGAUGUGAAGUGUUUUUAUGUAAUUGUUUUCUAGUCUUUUUUAAGGUUUAAAAAUUUCUGACUUCAUAUUGAAAAAAAUCUUAACAACAAAGCCCGGUGGUGAACACAUCAUACAAGAGUAUGCAAAAACCAAAUCUCUGACAGAUGCAACCAGAAGACAGAUGAUAAACAUACUUGCGGCUGAGAUGACAGAAGCACAUGGGUAAGAAUCACAAAUGUAGGCUGUAAAGAAACAUUGUUAGUAUUGUAUUAUUAAUUGUGAUAUUCAAUGCCUCAUUGAAUUUAUACAUUAGGACAUCUCCCGCUUAAAGUGUAAGAGUGACGUAUGCGCAGGGGAUUGUUGCUCUGUUUCCAUAUCUACGAGACCCAUAUUCACAACAUGCAUAUCUAAGUAAAGGGGACUUUGCAACAUUAAACACGUUGUUGCUAUCAGAAAUUUUGUUAACAUUGUCAUUCUGCAUGUAUUUAAUACAUAGGAACAUUACUACAAUCCAGAAAGCGGUUCAGGAUACCUUGCAUGGUGGUUAAAGACCAUUCAAAGAAAAGCUGCAAAGGAAAGAAGCGUCUCAGUUUGCAAAUCUCGCAAAAGUAAGUUCACUUAUCAUUUAAAUGAUACUGAUGUAUCGUAGGCAGGAGUCAAUCAAAUUGUUUUUUCUUAAGUUGGUGGGCCAGGCCAUGGUCGAUCCAGAUCACUCAGAAUGGCAUGACUGUGACUGUUUUUAAUUGCCAUUGUUGGUUAUAUAGGUAAUUCUGUCAAUUGAAUGUUUUUUUGGAAUAAUUCUUGUUUAUUCGUCUGUAGGCUGAGACAGUGACAUGUCUGCUUUCUCGCUGCUGCUAAAUCUGCUACCACCAUCAGCACAAGGGCGAAAGAGACCAGGAAAGAUGUCUGCAUCUCAAGCUGUCGAUAAACUCAUCAAAUUCCUAAAAGUAUGUUUAAAAUAUAUGUUCCAUCACCUCCAUUUUCAUGAACAGUGAGGUGAUCUAAUCUACUGUCAGAGCAUAGUCACUAAAUACUGCUGUUUAAUGUGUUGUUGUAGGCUGGAACCAGUGUACAGCAGCAUCUAGACAACAUCACCGGAAGCAGUCAGCCCUACAUUCGUGCUCAGGGACCCAUAAGAAGCAGCAUUCACGCCUUCAUUGUAAUUGACAAGCAUGCACUUCCAUGUAAAGUGGCAGGUUCACUAGGAGCCCCUGAUGAACUCUUUAAGGCCCAUUAUGUCUUUGGUACAUCAUACCGUUCAUCCCUGACCAACUUUUUCACUUUUCUGCAAACAACUAUUUACAACAUUGAUAUUGGGGAAACGUCAUAUUGCUUUCUCAUCAUAGUACUGUAUGCUACUGUGAAUUGUAAAGGUUUGUUACAUUAAUCAAAUGACACUGAAAUGACACACAUAAUAAAUGUUGUUACUGUACCCUUUAUGUUUGUUGUUAUUUCCAUAAUAUAGGAUAGAUCACAGCUGGGUACUUGUUUGAGCUGUUGCAGGAAUGGAUCCAUUAGCUGGAGUGCAGUGGGCAAACUGACUGAGGACAGCUGAGUUGGAUCUUCUCCCUUAUAUGAAGGCCUAGGUGUUGUUGAGCAGGGGGGAAUGGAUUUCUCUCUUCUCAAUCUUUGCCCUUCAGAGUCAGAUUUGUUUCCAUUUGGUAUGGUUUGUCACCCAUCACAAUGACGUGAGUCAUUUAACUGACUUUGUAUAUCAGAUUACCAGUUAUUAGUUUUUUGUUAUUUUUCUUAAAAAUAAAUAUUUGUAAAUGGUUACUUUGUGUCCUUUCCCAUUUUUGUCAUAACCCAUGAGCCAGGCUGUGACACGAGGUAAAUUACAAAUUACUUUCUCCUGGGAGUGACUAUGUAAUAUCAAUAUUACAUAU
Molecule: long non-coding RNA, 4282 nt
Organism: Oreochromis niloticus (Nile tilapia)
Lineage: Eukaryota; Metazoa; Chordata; Actinopteri; Cichliformes; Cichlidae
Exons: 3
Source: RefSeq, a predicted model, not a curated record